GAUCAUGGCUCAGGAUGAACGCUAGCUACAGGCUUAACACAUGCAAGUCGAGGGGCAGCAUGGUCUCAGCUUGCUAAGGCCGAUGGCGACCGGCGCACGGGUGAGUAACACGUAUCCAACCUGCCGUCUACUCUUGGACAGCCUUCUGAAAGGAAGAUUAAUACAAGAUGGCAUCAUGAGUCCGCAUGUUCACAUGAUUAAAGGUAUUUCGGUAGACGAG
RNAcentral lists this ribosomal RNA (220 nucleotides) under uncultured bacterium. RNAcentral describes it as "partial 16S ribosomal RNA". It matches the Rfam family "Bacterial small subunit ribosomal RNA", at positions 15 to 226 of the family's 1533-position model. The record is from RNAcentral.